ACAUGUUUACAGCAUAUCAUUAAUGCACCAGAUCCCAUUAGAACUCCGCAGUUAAGCAUGCUCAGAGUAGAGUAGUACUGGGAUGGGUGACCACUCGGGAAGUCCUAGUAUUUUACAUGCC
This is a non-coding RNA of Picea glauca (white spruce), 121 nucleotides long. Lineage: Eukaryota; Viridiplantae; Streptophyta; Pinopsida; Pinales; Pinaceae. The record is from Rfam.